Molecule: ribosomal RNA, 372 nt
Filed under: uncultured bacterium
Lineage: Bacteria
Description: bacterial SSU rRNA
Rfam family: Bacterial small subunit ribosomal RNA
Source: RNAcentral
CACGUAGGGGGCAAGCGUUGUUCGGAAUUACUGGGCGUAAAGGGCAUGUAGGCGGCCUUGUAAGCUUGGCGUGAAAGUCCACGGCUUAACCGUGGGAUUGCGUUGAGAACUGCGAGGCUUGAGUGACGGAGAGGGAGCUAGAAUUCCUGGUGUAGGGGUGGAAUCUGUAGAUAUCAGGAAGAAUACCAAUGGCGAAGGCAAGCUCCUGGCCGAUGACUGACGCUGAGGUGCGAAAGUGUGGGGAUCAAACAGGAUUAGAUACCCUGGUAGUCCACACUGUAAACGAUGUGCACUAGGUGCUGGGGCGGAUGCUUCAGUGCCGUAGCUAACGUGAUAAGUGCACCGCCUGGGGAGUAUGCUCGCAAGGGUGAA